GACAGAGGGUGCAAACGUUGUUCGGAUUUACUGGGCGUAAAGCGCGAGUAGGCGGCUUGGCAAGUCGGAUGUGAAAGCCCACGGCUCAACCGUGGAAGCGCAUCCGAAACUGCUUCGCUCGAGUCUCGGAGAGGAAGGUGGAAUGCUUGGUGUAGAGGUGAAAUUCGUAGAUAUCAAGCAGAACACCUGCGGCGAAGGCGGCCUUCUGGACGAUGACUGACGCUGAGACGCGAAAGCGUGGGGAGCAAACAGG
Molecule: ribosomal RNA, 253 nt
Filed under: uncultured bacterium
Lineage: Bacteria
Description: partial 16S ribosomal RNA
Rfam family: Bacterial small subunit ribosomal RNA
Source: RNAcentral